RNAcentral lists this long non-coding RNA (289 nucleotides) under Capsicum annuum. Its description in RNAcentral is "long non-coding RNA (CANN_LNC014820)". Lineage: Eukaryota; Viridiplantae; Streptophyta; Magnoliopsida; Solanales; Solanaceae. The record is from RNAcentral.
GGGGAGAACGAUUAACCGAUUUAGAUCUAAUAUUAGCAUUUUCUACUGGGGUGUCUCACCAAUAUUUUCAUCAUCUUCAUCUAAAUCAACCGCAUCUACUUCAUUUUCUUCUUUUAUACCGUAAUUUUUCUUAGCUUCUACAUAAUCCAUAUCGUGAGCACCUACACCUACAUCUUCCUCAAAAGACUGACUAAGAGGUACCAGAGGCGGAGGCAUACAGGUUUAUCUAUUACUUGAACUACCUCUACCGCUAGUAAUUCGGUUUUUACUAUCACUACCACUUCCGGGA